Molecule: ribosomal RNA, 207 nt
Filed under: uncultured bacterium
Lineage: Bacteria
Description: partial 16S ribosomal RNA
Rfam family: Bacterial small subunit ribosomal RNA
Source: RNAcentral
CUCGUAGGCGGUUCGUCGCGUCCGGUGUGAAAGUCCAUCGCUUAACGGUGGAUCCGCGCCGGGUACGGGCGGGCUUGAGUGCGGUAGGGGAGACUGGAAUUCCCGGUGUAACGGUGGAAUGUGUAGAUAUCGGGAAGAACACCAAUGGCAAAGGCAGGUCUCUGGGCCGUUACUGACGCUGAGGAGCGAAAGCGUGGGGAGCGAACA